GGAUCCGGCUGAGGAUGGGUCGGACUUUGGGUUUUCUAUUAAACACGCUUCUUCCCUUGCACAAACCCUAAUUUUGAUAUCCAUACUUCUAGCCGUUUCACUCCGAAUCUCAAUGAAGACAUCAGUCAUUCAUCAUCGCGAACCCUAAUCGCAUCAACAAUCAUCGAGCAUGAGCAUAUUCUGGUGUAAGUUAUUGAUUCUUGGAAUGAAACAUCUCAUCAACUUCAUCAUUCGUCCACCAGGAUCGAAGAUUAAAGAUCCGGCUUUUUUUUCCAUUAAUCGUCGGUUUCAUUUGAAUCCUAAACUGAUGGUUUUGUGGGGAUACCGCAUAAGGCGGCGAUAGAGGUGGAGUUGUUUGUCGGCGGUGGUUUAGCGUCAUCUAGGGUUCCAAUAGACAAGACUAAUAAAGUGAGGGACGAAGUCACCGAAGACAUUCUAUACGACAAGCAAUAUCAAUUAUGUUUGAAAGAAAUCCAAAACUAAGGUUGGAGGGGCUUCCUUGCAAGGUGUUACAGUGGUACUUGUGUAGAAUGGAAGGUUGGUUUGCUGCAAAUGCUAAAACUAUCUCUCUUAAAUGCUCGGACAAGGCAUGUUUUCUAAACUUCCGUUAUAUUUAUAAUAAACACAACAUUAUUAUUUUAAAUUUUGUGAUCGGAUAGUCGUUAUUUUACAUAUAAUGUGAAAAUGCUGCUGAUAUAACCACAUAUUUUGUUAUAUAUGUAAAAAUCUUGAAUUUGUAGGUUUGACUAAAAAACGUUGAAAUUUCAAAUUUUUUUACAACAGCAUAUUCUACUCCUGUAUUUUUGAUAUGCAGGUAGAGUUCUUUAGCAUUGAUCGCAAAGAAAAUCGCGAGUUUCACUCGGGAUUAAAAUUUCCAUCUGCUAUCAUUAUAAAAUGCAAUCUCAGUAACAAAGGUGAGUUGUAUUAUUUAUUAUGGAACUUAUGAAUGGGCCAAUUUUGUUUAUGUUUUAUCUCUCAUGAGUCAAAUGGGCAAGAUUAUAAAAAAUAGUGAUAGCAAAAUGGGUCAAGUGGGUUGAAAGUCGGCCAACGUGCUUUUAUCUAGAGGUGUACAAAAAAAGGGGUUGGGUCCAACCUGACCCGAUGAUUUGGUAUAGGUUUGGGUUUUUGUGUUAAAAAUCAGUUCCAACCUGAAUCAGUUUGAACCCGCCUAAAAACACUGGUUUAAACGCUAAAAGCGGUGCUGAUCCCAAUCCUAAUCGGUUUGGGCCGGUUGGUGUUUUCAACCCUAAAACCGAUUAUAACUCGAACCGGUUUGGAAAAUUGGUUUUACACCAAACAAAAAUAAACAAAAAUAUUUACAAACUGAACCGGUUUGGAUCCAAACCGGAUUUUGUAUGCCUAUACUUUUAAUGGAUUCAACCUUUUAAAUCAUUUUUUUAAUGGAUCCACACCAACUUUGAUUUGCUACUUAAAUGAUCUCUUUUUGACCAUGCAUUUGCUUAUUAAUAAUGUUUCAGUUUGGAUUAUGCAAUAUCAUUAACACUUCAAAUGGGUACAAUAUAGUUACGUGUUGAAUGAUUUGGAUUAACUCUCAAAUUAUUGCAUAUAAAGUCAUAUUAUUGUUGUAAUACUAUAGUCUUUAUUAUCAUUUCUCAUACUUAUUUGAGAAGAAAAAAAAUAUAACAAAUAGUAUUGUUGGUUAAAACAACAUAAUGCAUUCUGACUUUCUAUCAAAUUAAACAAUUUUGACUGAACCUUUUACUUACAAAUGGAUCAUUUUGGGUUAUAUUUGAUUUUUAACAGGUCUAAAGAGUGAGAUAAAAUAUAGAUUAUUAUUAUAAAGAUAGUUUUUGUGAUUAUAUCAAGCACCAAGUAUUUUAGUAAAAUGAAUUGGACAUAAAAUUGUUGUGGGUUAACUUAGUUUGGCCUAUUUUAUCUUGCAAUCAAAAUUACCCAUUUUGAUCACCUUUUACUCAACUUGCCUGAUCCUUUUGCUGAUAUUUGUUUUAAUAAAACAAGAGAAGUGGCUGCUGCAUUUGAGAAACAUACGAAAGUGUAUGGUGGUUUGGAUAUUUGUAUUAUUUGUCUGGAUACUGUUAGGUACCGAGGCAAGUAUGGUCACAGGUAUGCAUAUGGACUAAUAUUCUGAUGUUCCCAAAACUGCAUUUCUUUGGACGGUGUGGUGGCACAUUUCGAGAGUAAUAGGACGUCUAAGGAGGGAAAGAAGGUGAUGAACUUAAUUGUUAUAUGGCAGCACAGGUUCGAUCCUUCACCCGAACCAUUUCCCCCCUCUAUUUUGGUGCUUUUCGAUGGCUGUUUGGUGAAGGAACCCUAACGUCGUCGACGAUUACCUGGCCAGAAACCCGAUAGGGUCCAACCACUCUCUCUUUCGUUACAGAUCAUCGGUAACCAAUUUUGGCUUUGAAUGUGACUUUUUAUAUGGGUUUAGGGUUAUAUCUCUACUCUUGUGAAGAUUCUUUUAAAACUCUUGAUUCGGUCUUGUGAAAUCAGUGGUGACUUUGGCCACUGUGGAGGCAUAAGUGUUGUUUUAAAUCUAGAUUUGAUGUGUUUAUAUUAAAAUUAUGUGUUAACUAAUGUUAGAAAUGCAAGCUAAGUUGGAUAUGGACUAAGGUGCAGUUGUGGAAUCCUCAAGCAGAGGAUCUCUAAAGGACAAGAAGAGAUGUUAUGUUAGAAGAUUGGCUAAAGUCCCUGGGAGGUUGUCUGGUCAGGCACGAUUUGGCGUUUCCAGUUAGAUGCAUUGGCCAUGUCUGCACAGGAUCGUUCGUACAUACAUACUUCAGAAUUUGACCUUUGCCGCGGCUAUUAUCGUGAGUCCAUUUAAGGAAAACAACGGUGUGACGUCAACAUAAGGAAAAGUAAAGGGGAUUACUGGUUAUGGUUUACAACCGUGUUGGUGGUUGGGGUGAAGCUGCCAUCAGCCGUGGUGGAAACCGGUCAUGGCUGGGGGUUUGGCUGGAUUCCGAUCUGGUACGAAGAGGGAGAACCGUAAAGCAUCCAUCUUCCUCAAAUUCAGGAGAAGUUUAUCUAUUAACAUAAAUGUAAGGGUGAAGAUGGUGACUCCCGAAAGGUUAUUCUGAAAGGAAUGCGUUACAGAGAAGUUGAACGAAGAAUCGUCUCACAACUUUUGACUCUGAUGGACGGGUUGAAAUCCCAUGCUCACGUUAUUGUUAUGGGUGCAACCAACUGUCCCAACCUCAUUGACCCAGCUCUGAGAUGAUUCGGCAGGUUUGACCGUGAAAUCGAUAUCGGUGUUCCCGAUGAAGUCGGUCGGCUCGAGGUGCUCCGCAUUCAUACCAAGAACAUGAAGCUGGCUGAAGAUGCGGGACUUGGAGAAGAUUUCGAAAGAGACACGUGGAUAUGUCAAUGCUGAAUUUCUUUUAUGGAGCAUAUGAGGAGUCUACAGAACAUCUUUUAGUAUCGUGUGGGAUGACGCAAACUAUUUGGGACUUUAUUUAUACAUGGUACAUGCUUUAUAGCUUCUUUUUCUUUGAAUUCGAGGACCAGUUGAAGUUUUAUAAGCAAGCGAGAGGCUCUGUGAAGUGGAGAAAGGUUGUCUACUCCAUUAUUCUAACGGUCGUGUGGUGCAUUUGGCGAAGUCAAGACAAUAUUAUCUUCAACCGUAAACAACCUAAGGUGGAGAGUUUAAAGUAGGAAAUUAGAGUUUUGGCAUACCUAUGGGUUAAACAUUAGUCAGAAUCCGUUGGUUUAUCAUGGGAAAUCUGGCAAAAUUUCGUGUUAAUUUUUUUGGGUCUAUGAUGUAGUUUGUUAUCUGGUUGUUUUUGGAUGUGGAUUAGCAUUAAUCUGUUUUUUAAUAAAAUUUGAUUUGUUGGCUGUUUAAAAAA
This is a long non-coding RNA of Helianthus annuus (common sunflower), 3824 nucleotides long. RefSeq lists it as uncharacterized. The transcript is spliced from 9 exons. NCBI's taxonomy places the organism in Eukaryota, Viridiplantae, Streptophyta, Magnoliopsida, Asterales, Asteraceae. The record is from RefSeq and is a predicted model, not a curated record.